RNAcentral lists this ribosomal RNA (429 nucleotides) under uncultured Actinomycetes bacterium. RNAcentral describes it as "bacterial SSU rRNA". It matches the Rfam family "Bacterial small subunit ribosomal RNA", at positions 917 to 1348 of the family's 1533-position model. Lineage: Bacteria; Bacillati; Actinomycetota; Actinomycetes. The record is from RNAcentral.
GGGCCCGCACAAGCGGCGGAGCAUGCGGAUUAAUUCGAUGCAACGCGGAGAACCUUACCAAGGCUUGACAUAUACCGGUAACGGCCAGAAAUGGUCGCCCCGCAAGGUCGGUAUACAGGUGGUGCAUGGUUGUCGUCAGCUCGUGUCGUGAGAUGUUGGGUUAAGUCCCGCAACGAGCGCAACCCUCGUUCUAUGUUGCCAGCACGUUAUGGUGGGAACUCAUAGGAGACUGCCGGGGUCAACUCGGAGGAAGGUGGGGAUGACGUCAAAUCAUCACGCCCCUUAUGUCUUGGGCUUCACACAUGCUACAAUGGCCGGUACAAUGGGCAGCGAUACCGUGAGGUGGAGCGAAUCCCAAAAAGCCGGUCCCAGUUCGGAUUGAGGUCUGCAACUCGACCUCAUGAAGUCGGAGUCGCUAGUAAUCGCAGA